UACGUAGGGGGCAAGCGUUGUCCGGAAUCAUUGGGCGUAAAGCGCGUGUAGGCGGCUUGGUAAGUCUGCUCUGAAAGCCCGGGGCUCAACCCCGGGAGGCGGGUGGAUACUGUCAAGCUCGAGUCCGGAAGAGGAGUGUGGAAUUCCUGGUGUAGUGGUGAAAUGCGUAGAGAUCCGGAGGAACACCAGUGGCGAAGGCGACACGCUGGGCCGUACCUGACGCUAAAGCGCGACAGCAUGGGGAGCAAACGGG
Molecule: ribosomal RNA, 253 nt
Filed under: uncultured bacterium
Lineage: Bacteria
Description: partial 16S ribosomal RNA
Rfam family: Bacterial small subunit ribosomal RNA
Source: RNAcentral